UCAUCUGGCCAUGCCACCUUGAAUGCGCCCAAAUUCAUCUGAUCUAAGAAGCUAAGCAGGGUCCGGCCUGGUUAGUAUUUGGAUGGGAGACCACCUAGGAAGACCAGAUGCUGGAGGCA
This 119-nucleotide ribosomal RNA is filed under the name Pteropus alecto (black flying fox). Lineage: Eukaryota; Metazoa; Chordata; Mammalia; Chiroptera; Pteropodidae. The record is from RNAcentral.